Molecule: ribosomal RNA, 500 nt
Filed under: uncultured bacterium
Lineage: Bacteria
Description: partial 16S ribosomal RNA
Rfam family: Bacterial small subunit ribosomal RNA
Source: RNAcentral
AUUGAACGCUGGCGGCAGGCCUAACACAUGCAAGUCGAGCGGAUGACGGGAGCUUGCUCCUUGAUUCAGCGGCGGACGGGUGAGUAAUGCCUAGGAAUCUGCCUGGUAGUGGGGGACAACGUUUCGAAAGGAACGCUAAUACCGCAUACGUCCUACGGGAGAAAGCAGGGGACCUUCGGGCCUUGCGCUAUCAGAUGAGCCUAGGUCGGAUUAGCUAGUUGGUGUGGUAAUGGCUCACCAAGGCGACGAUCCGUAACUGGUCUGAGAGGAUGAUCAGUCACAUUGGAACUGAGACACGGUCCAGACUCCUACGGGAGGCAGCAGUGGGGAAUAUUGGACAAUGGGCGAAAGCCUGAUCCAGCCAUGCCGCGUGUGUGAAGAAGGUCUUCGGAUUGUAAAGCACUUUAAGUUGGGAGGAAGGGCAGUAAGUUAAUACCUUGCUGUUUUGACGUUACCGACAGAAUAAGCACCGGCUAACUCUGUGCCAGCAGCCGCAGUAA